This 200-nucleotide unclassified non-coding RNA is filed under the name fungal sp. RNAcentral describes it as "partial internal transcribed spacer 2". Lineage: Eukaryota; Fungi. The record is from RNAcentral.
UUAAGUUCAGCGGGUAUUCCUACCUGAUCCGAGGUCAAACUCAUGAAAGUCGGGGGUUUUACGGCAUGGCCGCGCCGCUCUCCAGUGCGAGGUGUGCUACUACGCAAGGGAGGCUGCAGCGAGACCGCCACUGUAUUUAGGGGUCGGCGCGCCCCGGAGGGCUUGCCGGUCCCCAACACCGCAGCCCGGAUGGGCGCGAG